RNAcentral lists this small RNA (1172 nucleotides) under uncultured beta proteobacterium. RNAcentral's name for it is "bacterial SSU rRNA". The stretch from base 1 to 463 matches the Rfam family "Bacterial small subunit ribosomal RNA", at positions 1064 to 1533 of the family's 1533-position model. The record is from RNAcentral. Lineage: Bacteria; Pseudomonadati; Pseudomonadota; Betaproteobacteria.
GUCGUGAGAUGUUGGGUUAAGUCCCGCAACGAGCGCAACCCUUGUCCCUAGUUGCUACGCAAGGGCACUCUAGGGAGACUGCCGGUGACAAACCGGAGGAAGGUGGGGAUGACGUCAAGUCCUCAUGGCCCUUAUGGGUAGGGCUUCACACGUCAUACAAUGGCCGGUACAGAGGGUUGCCAAAGCGCGAGCUGGAGCCAAUCCCAGAAAGCCGGUCGUAGUCCGGAUUGCAGUCUGCAACUCGACUGCAUGAAGUCGGAAUCGCUAGUAAUCGCGGAUCAGCAUGUCGCGGUGAAUACGUUCCCGGGUCUUGUACACACCGCCCGUCACACCAUGGGAGCGGGAUGUACCAGAAGUAGGUAGGCUAACCGCAAGGAGGCCGCUUACCACGGUGCGUUUCGUGACUGGGGUGAAGUCGUAACAAGGUAGCCGUAUCGGAAGGUGCGGCUGGAUCACCUCCUUUCUCGAGAUCAGGUGACAGGUCACAGGCAACAGGGGUCACAACCUGUUGUGCUGGCCGGUUGCCCCCUGGCUGUCCGAGUGCCCACGCUUAUCGGUUGUUUGCUGAUUGCUAGCCUGAAGGCCGGGUCUGUAGCUCAGCUGGUUAGAGCACCGUCUUGAUAAGGCGGGGGUCGAUGGUUCGAACCCAUCCAGACCCACCAGAUCGAGUAUGUCAGGACGGGGCUGUAGCUCAGUUGGGAGAGCACCUGCUUUGCAAGCAGGGGGUCGUCGGUUCGAUCCCGUCCAGCUCCACCAGCUAGCGGCUGGUGACUAGAGACUAGAAGGAACGGGACUAGAAGCCAUAGCUAAGCGAGUGCGUUUAGCUCUGGUUUUUACCAGUGCCCUGCUGAAGCAGUUGUUCAGGGGGACGAUCUUUAACAAUACGGAAGAAGUAAAGCGAUCUUGCUCGGGAGAGCGGGUGGGUGCGUAAGCGCUCGACCGUGGACCGGGUGAGAUCUGGGUUAGAUUGUAUCGAGCUUUGUUGUGGCCUAGUCCGCUGCAAUGGAGCCAAACGCAAACACCUGUAAUGCGAGGCGUGCAAGCGCGUAGCGUUAUGGGGUCAAGCGACUAAGUGCAUGUGGUGGAUGCCUUGGCGAUCACAGGCGAUGAAGGACGUGGCAGCCUGCGUAAAGCUCCGGGGAGCUGGCAAACGAGCAUUGAUCCGGAGAUGU